Long non-coding RNA from Pungitius pungitius (ninespine stickleback), 486 nucleotides. RefSeq lists it as uncharacterized. The record is from RefSeq and is a predicted model, not a curated record. NCBI's taxonomy places the organism in Eukaryota, Metazoa, Chordata, Actinopteri, Perciformes, Gasterosteidae. The transcript has 3 exons.
GUCACAGGUGGAACAAUCCCCCCCCACCCCUCUCUCUCCCCCCGGGGCGACGUGGCAGGAGCUGGAUGGCAGAGCGCAUCAGGAGUGUCAGGGAGUGAAAGCGACGAAACAAGCUUUUCUCACGGAUGCUACCGGGGAGUCAGAAAAGACAAUUGUGAGCGAGUCUCCAUUGGCUGCGCUCCUCAGAUGAGAGGAGACGGAGGAGACUGAGGAGACUGAGGAGACGGAGGAGACGGAGGAGACGGAGGAGACGGAGGAGACGGAGGAGCAGGUCCAGAUGGCAAAAGCCUUGAGGAGUCAGAACGCAGCACAGCUCCUUUUGACAUACGCGUCUCUUCUUUCUGUCAUUGUCACUGCAGAGUGGUGUCCUGCACCACCUGCACGGCUCCACCACCUGCACGGCUCCACCACAAGAUGGCGCCAUUUCACCAGAGAUUGAUUAUUUUUUCUUACGACCUUUUGCUUAAACAUUUAUUUUCUCACAUG